RNAcentral lists this long non-coding RNA (1338 nucleotides) under Triticum aestivum (bread wheat). Its description in RNAcentral is "long non-coding RNA (TAES_LNC011068)". Lineage: Eukaryota; Viridiplantae; Streptophyta; Magnoliopsida; Poales; Poaceae. The record is from RNAcentral.
GGAGUAACUUGUAAUAAUAAAAUGGUUCAGUUCAUUAUAUCACUUUGAGCAUGUCAUGGAAAAUGUAUCAUGAUAUACCAAAAGCAGGUCCUAACGAUAGUGAAAGAGAUCAACAGAUAUGGUUCUUCUAAUUCUGAGCUCAUCUUCGAGAGAAAUUACAUAUUUACAUAUCUCCUAAUUCUGAUCCCAUCUUUCUAUAGUUCAGUCUUUAAUAAUUAUUUCAACAUCAACAGUAUAUGUGAACAUCAGGAGGGAAGCAGAUGUGUGCCUUCCUUUUGCAUUUGACUCGGUUGAAACAAUAAAACCUCUCCACAUAAAAAAAGCAAUCUGCAAAAGCAUGUUCCAAACAUUUUAGAGCAUGCUGGCAAUACAAAGCAAUAAAUGGUUGUACAGCAAAGCAGAAGUGCAUAUGAGCUACUACUGUGACGUUUAGUUAUGAAUCAAGUGGAGCACAAUAAGAUCAUGUUCAUAACCUGCAAAACAAUAAUAAAAGACCUCAAUUUAUUAUUUUCCAUGGAUUUAAGUAUAUUCCAUGAGAAAUUUCUGCUGUAACCAAGUCUCAAGCUCAAACCAAAAUAUUUUAGCAUCAUUACUUGAGUUGUUUUCUGUUUUCUGUAAGUUGUAGAUCUGAUGCUACACGCCCUGAUCAGUGCGCAGUAGUAAUAUAUGAUUCAGGUAUAAUGGACACUCAUGAUUUUUUUCCUUUCUUAAAAUGAGGUAUACAACUAAUCAACUAUACACACCGGAUACUCAAGUUACAUGGUAAUAAAUAUUCAGAGAAGAAAUAUAUCACGACAAUGAUCGCAACUCAUUUCAUGUAGUGCAAAUCACAAAAGGGGGAAGAUGCUUUCAUGGAAGAAUCUAAAAUCAUUCACUGCAUAACAAAUAUUGUUUAUCUACUACCAAUUAUAUAUCGCAGUUGAUGUAUGUACAUUACCAAGACAAAGCAAGUAACAGGAAGCACAUUAUUAUUUUGAGCUGAAGUGUAUGCAGAUGGCACAAAUACUCGAGGCAUGUUCUAAUUAUUCUACUGGCUCUAGGUCCAAAAGAAUGAGCAAGAAGAAAUAUAUAUCUCUCUCAGAAAAAUAUAGGAUUACUAAUCUGAAGAAUAUAAAUUUGUCUGAUAAAAAAAAAUCCAUGCAUGACUUCCUACCUCAUAAGCAUGCGGACCAUUUAGAAGCCAAGCUAACAUCAAGUACAAAAAAUACAAACCGUCAUUAUUGGCAAAAUGCCGCACUUCCUACCUCAGAAGCACGAGGCGUGCAAUAAUUAUUGGGAUAUCCUACCAUGAAUCAGCAGGCACAGGUAAAUGGAACAUACACAGUAAUAGUUCACACA